UACGUAGGGGGCAAGCGUUGUCCGGAAUCAUUGGGCGUAAAGCGCGCGUAGGCGGCCCGGUAAGUCCGCUGUGAAAGUCAAAGGCUCAACCUUUGAAUGCCGGUGGAUACUGUCGGGCUAGAGUACGGAAGAGGCGAGUGGAAUUCCUGGUGUAGCGGUGGAAUGCGCAGAUAUCAGGAGGAACACCAAUAGCGAAGGCAGCUCGCUGGGACGUUACUGACGCUAAGGCGCGAAAGCGUGGGGAGCGAACAGGAUUAGAAACCCCCGUAGUCC
RNAcentral lists this ribosomal RNA (273 nucleotides) under uncultured bacterium. RNAcentral describes it as "partial 16S ribosomal RNA". It matches the Rfam family "Bacterial small subunit ribosomal RNA", at positions 524 to 796 of the family's 1533-position model. The record is from RNAcentral.